This 261-nucleotide ribosomal RNA is filed under the name uncultured soil bacterium. Its description in RNAcentral is "partial 16S ribosomal RNA". It matches the Rfam family "Bacterial small subunit ribosomal RNA", at positions 26 to 285 of the family's 1533-position model. The record is from RNAcentral.
AGGACGAACGCUGGCGGCGUGCUUAACACAUGCAAGUCGAGCGGUAAGGCCUUUCGGGGUACACGAGCGGCGAACGGGUGAGUAACACGUGGGUGAUCUGCCCUGCACUCUGGGAUAAGCCUGGGAAACUGGGUCUAAUACCGGAUAUGACCUGCUCUCGCAUGGGGGGUGGUGGAAAGUAUUUAUCGGUGCAGGAUGGGCCCGCGGCCUAUCAGUCGUUGGUUGGUGGGUAAUCGGGCCUACGAAGGCGACGGACGGGUA